This 254-nucleotide ribosomal RNA is filed under the name uncultured bacterium. Its description in RNAcentral is "partial 16S ribosomal RNA". It matches the Rfam family "Bacterial small subunit ribosomal RNA", at positions 524 to 776 of the family's 1533-position model. The record is from RNAcentral.
UACGAAGGGGGCGAGCGUUGUUCGGAGUUACUGGGCGUAAAGGGCGCGCAGGCGGUUAUCCAAGUCAGGUGUGAAAGCCCCGGGCUCAACCCGGGAAAUGCACUUGGGACUGGAUUGACUUGAGUACGGGAGAGGAUGAUGGAAUUCCCAGUGUAGAGGUGAAAUUCGCAGAGAUUGGGAAGAACACCGGUGGCGAAGGCGGUCAUCUGGCCCGUAACUGACGCUGAGGCGCGAAAGCGUGGGGAGCAAACAGG